Molecule: ribosomal RNA, 497 nt
Filed under: uncultured bacterium
Lineage: Bacteria
Description: partial 16S ribosomal RNA
Rfam family: Bacterial small subunit ribosomal RNA
Source: RNAcentral
GAUGAACGCUGGCGGCGUGCCUAACACAUGCAAGUCGAGCGACCAGACGAGGAUCUCUCUCCUCCGACGUUAGCGGCGGACGGGUGGGUAACUCGCGCAUAACCUACCUACCCGACUGGGCUAACUACGGCGACCCAGAGCUAAUACAUGAUGAUAUUUUUCACUUGACGGCUUCAUAGUGGAAGACGGGUUUUCUGUCACUUAUAGAUGGAUCCGCGCCGCAUUAGAUAGGUGGGAAGGUAACGCCUUCCCAAGGCACCGAUGCGUAGCCGACCUGAGAGGGUGAUCGGCCACACUAGAACUGAGACACGGUCCAGACUCCUACGGGAGGCAGCAGUAGAGAGUCUUACGCAAGGGGCGAAAGCCUGACGGAGCAACGCCGCGUGAGUGAUGAAGGUCUUCGGAUCGUAAAACUCUGUUAUUAGGGAAGAACAAAUGCGUAAGUAACUAUGCACGUCUUGACGGUACCUAAUGAAAAAGCCACGGCUAACUACGUG